GACGGAGGGUGCAAGCGUUGUACGGAAUUACUGGGCGUAAAGCGCGUGUAGGCGGUCUGAUAAGUCGAGUGUGAAAGCCCGAGGCUCAACUUCGGAAGUGCACUCGAAACUGUCAGGCUUGAGUACGGGAGAGGGAAGUGGAAUUCCUGGUGUAGAGGUGAAAUUCGUAGAUAUCAGGAGGAACACCGGUGGCGAAGGCGGCUUCCUGGACCGAUACUGACGUUGAGACACGAAAGCGUGGGUAGCAAACAGG
Molecule: ribosomal RNA, 253 nt
Filed under: uncultured bacterium
Lineage: Bacteria
Description: partial 16S ribosomal RNA
Rfam family: Bacterial small subunit ribosomal RNA
Source: RNAcentral